UACGUAGGGGGCAAGCGUUGUCCGGAUUUAUUGGGCGUAAAGAGCGUGUAGGCGGCCAUACAGGUCAGCUGUGAAAACUCGAGGCUCAACCUCGAGACGUCGGUUGAAACCGUAUGGCUAGAGUCCGGAAGAGGAGAGUGGAAUUCCUGGUGUAGCGGUGAAAUGCGCAGAUAUCAGGAAGAACACCCGUGGCUAAGGCGGCUCUCUAGUACGGUACUGACGCUGAGACGCGAAAGCGUGGGGAGCGAACAGG
RNAcentral lists this ribosomal RNA (253 nucleotides) under uncultured bacterium. Its description in RNAcentral is "partial 16S ribosomal RNA". It matches the Rfam family "Bacterial small subunit ribosomal RNA", at positions 524 to 776 of the family's 1533-position model. The record is from RNAcentral.